ACCGGCGAACGGGUGAGUAACACGUGAGAACCUACCCCGGAGAUGGGAAUAACCACGGGAAACUGUGGCUAAUGCCCAAUAUUACCGCAUGGCGAAAAGUCCGCUGCUCCGGGAUGGUCUCGCGGCGUAUCAGCUUGUUGGUGAGGUAAUGGCUCACCAAGGCAACGACGCGUAGCUGGAGUGAGAGCUCGAACAGCCACACUGGGACUGAGACACGGCCCAGACUCCUACGGGAGGCAGCAGUGGGGAAUCUUGCGCAAUGGGCGAAAGCCUGACGCAGCGACGCCGCGUGUGGGAAGAAGGCCUUCGGGUUGUAAACCACUUUCAGGAGGGAAGAAGCGAAAGUGACGGUACCUCCAGAAGAAGGUCCGGCCAACUACGUGCCAGCAGCCGCGGUAAUACGUAGGGACCGAGCGUUGUCCGGAAUUAUUGGGCGUAAAGAGCUCGUAGGCGGUUCUUUAAGUCGGAUGUGAAAUCUCAGGGCUUAACCCUGAAACCGCACCCGAUACUGGAGAACUUGAGGCAGGUAGGGGAGAUCGGAAUUCCUGGUGUAGCGGUGAAAUGCGCAGAUAUCACGAGGAACACCGGUGGCGACGCGGAUCUCUGGGCCUGUUCUGACGCUGAGGAGCGAAAGCGUGGGGAGCAAACAGGAUAGAUACCUGUAGGUCACGUCGA
RNAcentral lists this ribosomal RNA (675 nucleotides) under uncultured bacterium. Its description in RNAcentral is "bacterial SSU rRNA". It matches the Rfam family "Bacterial small subunit ribosomal RNA", at positions 94 to 803 of the family's 1533-position model. The record is from RNAcentral.